RNAcentral lists this ribosomal RNA (497 nucleotides) under uncultured bacterium. RNAcentral describes it as "partial 16S ribosomal RNA". It matches the Rfam family "Bacterial small subunit ribosomal RNA", at positions 28 to 507 of the family's 1533-position model. The record is from RNAcentral.
GAUGAACGCUGGCGGCGUGCCUAAUACAUGCAAGUCGAGCGAACGGACGAGAAGCUUGCUUCUCUGAUGUUAGCGGCAGACGUGUGAGUAACACGUGUAUAACCUACCUAUAAUACUGGUAUAACUUCGGGAAACCGGCGCUAAUACCGUAUAAUAUUUUGAACCGCAUUGUUCAAAAGUGAAAUACGGCCUUUCUGUCACUUAUCGAUGGUUCUGCGCUGCAUUAGCUAGUUGGUAAGGUGACAGCUUACCAAGGGAACGAUGCAUAGGCGACCUGAGAGGGUGAUAGGCCACACUGGAACUGGGCCACGGACCAGACUCCUACGGGAGGCAGCAGUCGGGUAUGUUACGCAAUGGGCGAAAGCAUGACGGAGCAACGCGGCGUGAGUGAUGACGGUCUUCGGAUCGUAAAACUCUGUUAUUAGGGAAGAACAUAUGUGUAAGUAAAUGUGCACAUCUUGACGGUAACUAAUCAGAAAGCCACGGCUAACUACGUG